GAAGGCUAUGUUGGCCGGGCGACGGUUGUCCCGGUUUAAGCGUGUAGGCUGGUUUUCCAGGCAAAUCCGGAAAAUCAAGGCUGAGGCGUGAUGACGAGGCACUACGGUGCUGAAGCAACAAAUGCCAUGCUUCCAGGAAAAGCCUCUAAGCAUCAGGUAACAUCAAAUCGUACCCCAAACCGACACAGGUGGUCAGGUAGAGAAUACCAAGGCGCUUGAGAGAACUCGGGUGAAGGAACUAGGCAAAAUGGUGCCGUAACUUCGGGAGAAGGCACGCUGAUAUGUAGGUGAAGCGACUUGCUCGUGGAGCUGAAAUCAGUCGAAGAUACCAGCUGGCUGCAACUGUUUAUUAAAAACACAGCACUGUGCAAACACGAAAGUGGACGUAUACGGUGUGACGCCUGCCCGGUGCCGGAAGGUUAAUUGAUGGGGUCAGCGCAAGCGAAGCUCUUGAUCGAAGCCCCGGUAAACGGCGGCCGUAACUAUAACGGUCCUAAGGUAGCGAAAUUCCUUGUCGGGUAAGUUCCGACCUGCACGAAUGGCGUAAUGAUGGCCAGGCUGUCUCCACCCGAGACUCAGUGAAAUUGAACUCGCUGUGAAGAUGCAGUGUACCCGCGGCAAGACGGAAAGACCCCGUGAACCUUUACUAUAGCUUGACACUGAACAUUGAGCCUUGAUGUGUAGGAUAGGUGGGAGGCUUUGAAGUGUGGACGCCAGUCUGCAUGGAGCCGACCUUGAAAUACCACCCUUUAAUGUUUGAUGUUCUAACGUUGACCCGUAAUCCGGGUUGCGGACAGUGUCUGGUGGGUAGUUUGACUGGGGCGGUCUCCUCCUAAAGAGUAACGGAGGAGCACGAAGGUUGGCUAAUCCUGGUCGGACAUCAGGAGGUUAGUGCAAUGGCAUAAGCCAGCUUGACUGCGAGCGUGACGGCGCGAGCAGGUGCGAAAGCAGGUCAUAGUGAUCCGGUGGUUCUGAAUGGAAGGGCCAUCGCUCAACGGAUAAAAGGUACUCCGGGGAUAACAGGCUGAUACCGCCCAAGAGUUCAUAUCGACGGCGGUGUUUGGCACCUCGAUGUCGGCUCAUCACAUCCUGGGGCUGAAGUAGGUCCCAAGGGUAUGGCUGUUCGCCAUUUAAAGUGGUACGCGAGCUGGGUUUAGAACGUCGUGAGACAGUUCGGUCCCUAUCUGCCGUGGGCGCUGGAGAACUGAGGGGGGCUGCUCCUAGUACGAGAGGACCGGAGUGGACGCAUCACUGGUGUUCGGGUUGUCAUGCCAAUGGCACUGCCCGGUAGCUAAAUGCGGAAGAGAUAAGUGCUGAAAGCAUCUAAGCACGAAACUUGCCCCGAGAUGAGUUCUCCCUGACUCCUUGAGAGUCCUGAAGGAACGUUGAAGACGACGACGUUGAU
RNAcentral lists this ribosomal RNA (1405 nucleotides) under Escherichia coli. RNAcentral describes it as "partial 23S ribosomal RNA". It matches the Rfam family "Bacterial large subunit ribosomal RNA", at positions 1477 to 2857 of the family's 2925-position model. Lineage: Bacteria; Pseudomonadati; Pseudomonadota; Gammaproteobacteria; Enterobacterales; Enterobacteriaceae. The record is from RNAcentral.